Ictidomys tridecemlineatus (thirteen-lined ground squirrel) is the source of this 108-nucleotide small nuclear RNA. NCBI's taxonomy places the organism in Eukaryota, Metazoa, Chordata, Mammalia, Rodentia, Sciuridae. The record is from Ensembl.
GGGCUUGCUUCAGCAGCACAUAUACUAAAAAUUCAAACAAUGCAGAGAUGCUUAGCAUGGUCCCUGUGCAAAGAUGACACAUAAAUCCAUGAAGCAUUUCAUAUUAAA